AAGACUAUACUUUCAGGGACUAUUUCUAUAGUUUGUUACUAGAGAAGUUUCUCUGAAUGUAUAACACUGGAAACCUCAGAAAGAAGGUGCAGCGUGUUCUCUUGAGUGUGAAGCAGGCUCUUGGUGUUGCUUUGCUGCAUCUGCCAUUUGCCAUUGAUGAUUGCUCUUCUCUUCCCUCAGGAGAGUAAGAGGGAGACAACAGUCUGAGUGAU
RNAcentral lists this small nucleolar RNA (212 nucleotides) under Propithecus coquereli (Coquerel's sifaka). RNAcentral's name for it is "Small nucleolar RNA U3 (ENSPCOG00000010228.1)". It matches the Rfam family "Small nucleolar RNA U3". From Rfam's summary of the family: Small nucleolar RNAs (snoRNAs) are involved in the processing and modification of rRNA in the nucleolus. There are two main classes of snoRNAs: the box C/D class, and the box H/ACA class. The record is from Rfam by way of RNAcentral. Lineage: Eukaryota; Metazoa; Chordata; Mammalia; Primates; Indriidae.